This 119-nucleotide ribosomal RNA is filed under the name Pteropus alecto (black flying fox). The record is from RNAcentral. Lineage: Eukaryota; Metazoa; Chordata; Mammalia; Chiroptera; Pteropodidae.
GUGUACAGCCAUGCCACCCUGAACAAGCCCCAUCCCUUCUGAUCUCGGAAGCUAAGCAGGGUCGGUCCUGAUUAGUGCUUGGAUGGGAGACCACCUGGGAAGACUGGGUGCUGUAGGUG